UACGUAGGGGGCAAGCGUUGUCCGGAAUCAUUGGGCGUAAAGAGCGUGUAGGCGGUCCGGUAAGUCGGUUGUGAAAGUCCAGGGCUCAACCCUGGGAUGCCGACCGAUACUGUCGGACUAGAGUUCGGAAGAGGCGAGUGGAAUUCCCCGGUGUAGCGGUGAAAUGCGCAGAUAUCGGGAGGAACACCUAUGGCGAAGGCAGCUCGCUGGGACGUUACUGACGCUGAGACGCGAAAGCGUGGGGAGCAAACAG
This 253-nucleotide ribosomal RNA is filed under the name uncultured bacterium. Its description in RNAcentral is "partial 16S ribosomal RNA". It matches the Rfam family "Bacterial small subunit ribosomal RNA", at positions 524 to 775 of the family's 1533-position model. The record is from RNAcentral.